Molecule: long non-coding RNA, 249 nt
Organism: Branchiostoma floridae (Florida lancelet)
Lineage: Eukaryota; Metazoa; Chordata; Leptocardii; Amphioxiformes; Branchiostomatidae
Exons: 3
Source: RefSeq, a predicted model, not a curated record
CGGAAAGGAAAGGAUAUUUGACAUCAUUUCUGACACAGUCAACGAGAAGUUCCCGCCCUGGAUGAGGUCAGUCAUGGCGUACCUCAGCACAGCAGGCGUCAUGAUCCCUCUCUUCAUGUUGCUUAUAAUGGCAAUCUACUAUCUACAAUCUCUCCUAAAAUCAUACAAAGAAGCGAACAACGACUUGAGGAUACAGCUACAAUACGAAAGAACCGAAGGAAAGAAAAAAGUUUACGAAAUGUCAGCGGG